UUGCUUCUGCAGCACAUAUAUUAAAAUUGGAAUGAUACAGAGAAGACUAGCAUGGCCCCUGUGCAAGGAUGACACACAAAUUCAUGAAGCAUUCCAUAUUUUA
RNAcentral lists this small nuclear RNA (103 nucleotides) under Myotis brandtii (Brandt's bat). Lineage: Eukaryota; Metazoa; Chordata; Mammalia; Chiroptera; Vespertilionidae. The record is from RNAcentral.